GUCACUCAACUGAAAACAGAAAUUGUACAUCAUAAUGAAGCAUUGUUAAUCUCAUUAGACUUUGAAUUAGAGAGUGAGAGCAGUUCGAGCCAUGGAUAAAGCCCCAUCAUAGGACUGGUUUCCGCCAAUAAAGCCGCUCAUGUGGACAAAAACGCAACCGGGGAUCUCAGCAGCUUUAGAGAGUUCCUCAUCUCUAAGGCCUCUCCAUUGCUCAGGAAGAGCCUUUCGGUUCUCAAACCUGUCUGGUGCAACCGCCACUGCUUGGACUCUCCACUGCUUUCCUCGCUCGUCCUACACGUCAUUUGCACUAGUUCUCAAUACCAAAUUAUCCUUUCACCACACUAAUACAUUCACAUUUCUUAAGGAGAACACGUCAUUCACACUCAUCACAUCUGAGAUCCUACAAGCCUAUCUUAAUAUCGUGCUUGAAGGUUACCUGGUAGAUGACGUAUUUGAUGAGUGGUUCGAUCUUCAUCUCUUGCUCAAGCUCGAACAAAUGAAGCUUCCACUGCCCACCCAUUAACCCAGAGAGUUAGUUUUAAUAUUAAGAAAUCAGAAUAGUAGCAUUGACAAAGGGGAAUGGACAGUGAAAGCACUUACAGGGCAGAAGUUUUUAAGUUCCAUGAUCUCGCCACUAGGGUCAGUCUUGAAUCUUUCUUCAAGACACUGCAUCACGAUUGAUCGAGCCGGCAACCACGACCUUGCAUGAAAUCUUAAACUCUACAGGGCAAAGUAAAAUACACAAGUUAGCCUUGAGAAACCACCCACCUGACUGACACUUGGAACAGAGAAAGUCUUACUUGGAGAAACUCUUUGCCAGCAAGAGCCAUGGCAAGCUGGAAAGCCUCAUUCUCCUUCUCCUGGGACUGGUCAGGGUCAAUCCAAUCAAGAUUUAAUCUUCCAACCCUCGAAGACAAAUGCGUGUUGUUCACAUAUCUUGGAGGCUGAUCAGUAUCAUACCGAUUAAUUCCAUUGUCCACAGCAUCAAUCGCCUGUCACAAAAAAGUUGAUGAAACAUUAACAAAAAAAAAAUGCAUGGAGAAUGAAAGGCAACAGUGGUAGAGAAUAAUACCUCCAUGAAGCUCUUGUAGACAGCUAGAAACAAGCGAAGGACAUCAGGGUGAUCUUGGUCGACGUUAAGUUCCUUAGCUAUGAUCUCCUUUCCAAAAUGCUGAACCAAAACAACAUUCAGACAGACUUUAUUUCUUUCCUACAAAGAAAACUGAGGGAGCAAAGCAAAGCAAGAACCUUGUAAACGAGACCGGCACUGCUGAGCUUGGUGUUGAAACCAUGUCCAAACACCUCUUCGAAGCCCUUCUGGUGAUGAUCAUAGCGGUCAUGGUCGGGGUCAUAAACACCUCCAACGUCAAGCACUGCAUCAAGCUCCCCCAAUAUCUGCAUCAAAACAAUCCAUCAACAAUCGAAACCCUAAAUUCCAAAAUCAAUUUCAAACAAGUAAACAGUCUCCGACUAACUCAAUUCGUAAGAGCAAAAAACAUCUUAGAUUUGUUUUUGUUACCUUAGGGUCACGGGUACGGACGAUGUCGGCGCCGGAGAACUUAUGGGAGAGGCGUAUCAUGAAGCAACCGAGAGCUUCGUCGCAGUGAAAGCUUCCGUUGUGAGUACCAACUUUCUUGACUGGAACUUCCGAAGGAGAUGCGGGAGUAGUAGUAGUAGUAGUAGUAGUAGUAGAGUAAACCCUAACGACGGCACAAGGAGCCAUUGCUGCAGCAACGAGAGGAAGAGGAAGGAGACUCAAGUUUCUGAUUAAACCCUUUGUUACUGGAAACAUGACUGAAAUUUUGAUUGAAAAUUGUCAAAUGGGCCUCUUUUAUAAGAUACUAAACAGUUUGGGCCUAAUGUUCACCUUUUUAUCUGCCCCCUAUCACGUUAUGGCUUGUUCAGUCUUAUAGUUCUAUGGUUUGAAGAUACGAUUCCAUCCAAGCAAACAAAUAACGAAACGGUCACUCAACUAAAAACAGAAAUUGUACAACAUAAUGAAGCAUUGUAAUCUCUCCCUCUGCUUUGAAUUAAGACUUUGAAUUAGAGAGUGAGAGCAGUUCGAGCCAUGGAUAAAGCGCCGUCAUAGGACAGGUUUCCGCCAAUAAAGCCGCUCAUGUGGACAAAAACGCAACCGGGGAUCUCAGCAGCUUUAGAGAGUUCCUCAUCUCUAAGGCCUCUCCAUUGCUCAGGAAGAGCCUUUCGGUUCUCAAAC
This 2215-nucleotide long non-coding RNA is filed under the name Brassica napus (rape). Its description in RNAcentral is "long non-coding RNA (BNAP_LNC025364)". The record is from RNAcentral. Lineage: Eukaryota; Viridiplantae; Streptophyta; Magnoliopsida; Brassicales; Brassicaceae.